AUUUUCCAGUGUGGCAAUUUGAACGACAGCUUGCGGCCACAUUAAAAAAAUGCUAAAGCGUCUGUGCGGAAUCAACA
Molecule: non-coding RNA, 77 nt
Filed under: Ignavibacteria bacterium
Lineage: Bacteria; Pseudomonadati; Ignavibacteriota; Ignavibacteria
Source: RNAcentral